Molecule: long non-coding RNA, 1243 nt
Organism: Hemicordylus capensis (graceful crag lizard)
Lineage: Eukaryota; Metazoa; Chordata; Lepidosauria; Squamata; Cordylidae
Exons: 3
Source: RefSeq, a predicted model, not a curated record
GCCUGAACUCGAGUAGGGCCCAAGCAAGCCAGGAAGGAGGAGGCAGCCAGAGUGGCCACCACUGUUCUCUGCAGCAGAAGACCCCUUGCUGCCAGGUGAGGAUUGCGUGAGUCAAGCAUGUGGGCCUAGCAUCAAAUGCCUGGAUCACACAUGACCCAGGCUGUGUGAGGGAGGAGAGAAGUACGUACAUGAAGAUCAUCCUUCGUAAGGUGAAUGUGAAAAUAGCACACAUAGCCAGCAACCAUCCUGCCUUGGAUGCCAACCCCCUCACACAGCCCUAUCAAAUGGGAAAUGAGGAGAGCAGCUGGAAUCCCAUUUGAUACCAUCCAGAGCACAAUGGAAACCAAGUAUUCUUCAUCCCUCCCUGAGAAUGGAUGAGGACAAGAAGUCUUGACCAACAAGGCAGGACUCAAAAUAUUCUUCUCUUCCCCCAGCACUACUGCAGCCAUGACCUGUUGAAGGGGAAAGUGUUACUGUGAAGAACUUCAGUGUGCCAACUGGACAAUAACUGCUGUGUUCUAACUCUACAAAUACCUUUUGUAUUACAAGCAAGGCAGCCCUCCCAUUGAUGUGCAGGGCAAUUCUAUGCAUGUUUACUGAAGAGUAAGUCUGACUGAGUAUUCAGUCCUUCCUAAUUUUGCAUUUAGGAUUUCAGCUUAAGUGGAACAGCUGCAGAAACGCUGCGAAGAUCACUAAAACUGAAAAAAUGGCAAGUGGCUAUUAUAGUACAGUAUGUAACAGUGCAGAGGGAACUCAUGCCUGUUCAGAGGAAAAGAGCAGAAGGUUGUUCUACAUCAGUCCUUUGUUUUAUGGGAACUACUACCCUUUUUCAGUACUGCAGUGUAUAUAUGCUUUAUACCAUAAACAGGACUUAUGGGGUCAUAAACUGGAAUUUGUACAUUACUUGAACAAAACUGAAAAAUAAAAGCUUACCAAAAAAGUGCAAUUCCCCCAUCAUCUGCAACUUGAAAGGUAUUUCAGGAGUAGUCAUCAACACAAAUACAUAUCAAAGCAGGCACAUUUUAUCAUUUCAAGGGGAGGGGCCACAGUUCUGUCAUAGUGGACACAGAUCUCAUUCCCUGUCAUCUUCAAUUGACCUGGGCAAGACCUCUGUCAGACUCUGCUGUCAACAUAAACAGUUCAAAGCUAGAUGGACCAAGGGUCCGACUCUGUAUAAGGUACGUUCCUGUGUUCAUUUACAGGGAUGUUCAGGACUCAUAACUGCCACAUCAAACCACCAUUC